CCAAAAACCUAGCCCCGCCACACUCCCUAACUAACCCCCACUUAACUAAACAAAUUAAAAUAUUCUAGCGAUCUAGUAAAGAAGAUUGAAAAAUCUCGCAGCGCAAUAACCAGGUACCGCAAGGGAAAGUUGAAAUAGUAAUGAAACAAAUAAAGCACAAGACAGUAGAGAUCCCCCCUUGUACCUUUUGCAUCAUGGUUUAGCCAGUCCCACCAAGCAGAGAGACUUUAAGUUUGACACCCCGAAACUAAGUGAGCUACUCUGAGGCAACCUAAUAGCCAACCCGUCUCUGUUGCAAAAGAGUGGGGAGACCCCAAAGUAGAAGUGACAUGCCUAUCGAACUUAGUAAUAGCUGGUUGCUCAUGAAAAGAAUAUUAGUUCUACCUAAAGUUGCUUGACCACUACCUAAUGCUUGACUUUAGAGUAAUUCAAACAGGGUACAGCCUAUUUGAAACAGGACACAACCUAAGCUGGCGGGUAAUUCAUAUACGCCCAUCAACCAAGUAGGCUUAAAAGCAGCCACCUUAAAAAUGCGUCAAAGCUUAUUUAAUGCACCCCCUCUCCCUCGAACCCAACAAACCCCCUACUAAUAAUGAGCAUUUCUAUAUACUAUAGAAAAUAUAAUGCUAAAACUAGUAACAAGAAGAAACAACUCUUCUCUCUCAUGCAAGUAUAAUCCAGCCUCGGAUAGCCCACUGGCAAUCAACAGCUAUAAACCUUAAUGGAUCCGACCCCCCCCCCCCCAGAAACUCCCAUUAAUAUAUGCUGUUAACCUAACACAAGAGCAUGCCGAGAAAGAUUUAAAGAACGGGAAGGAACUCGGCAAAUUAAAAUCCCGCCUGUUUACCAAAAACAUCGCCUCCUGACUAAACAUAGGAGGUCCAGCCUGCCCAGUGAAUACUUCAACGGCCGCGGUAUACUAACCGUGCAAAGGUAGCACAAUCACUUGUCCUUUAAAUAAGGACCUGUAUGAACGACACCACGAGGAUUUAACUGUCUCCCCCCUCUAAUCCGUGAAACUAACCCCCCUGUGAAAAAGCAGGGAUAGACCUAUAAGACGAGAAGACCCUAUGGAACUUUAAAUAAAUAACACCUGCUUCGCCAUCAAACACCCUAAAUUAUGGCACCUACGAGCAUGCUGAUUAUAAGUUUUAGGUUGGGGUGACCGCGGAGAAAAAUCCACCCUCCGUGACGGGAUGAGCCCAAAUUCAAAAGCAUAAGUUACAACUUUAAAAAUCAGUAAACUGACACUAUUGACCCAAUUUUUUGAUCAACGAAACAAGCUACCCUAGGGAUAACAGCGCAAUCUACUUCGAGAGUACAUAUCAACAAGUAGGCUUACGACCUCGAUGUUGGAUCAGGGUAUCCUAGUGGUGCAGCCGCUACAAAGGUUCGUUUGUUCAACGAUUAAAGCCCUACGUGAUCUGAGUUCAGACCGGAGUAAUCCAGGUCGGUUUCUAUCUAUAAGACGCCACCUCCAGUACGAAAGGACCGAGGAAGCAAGGCCAAUAGAAACCUAAGCCUUACCAGACAAUUUAUGUUUAUACUUAAAAAAUUUUCUAACCAAAACCCCGCCCUAGACAAGAGCA
Molecule: ribosomal RNA, 1589 nt
Filed under: Craugastor melanostictus
Lineage: Eukaryota; Metazoa; Chordata; Amphibia; Anura; Craugastoridae
Description: 16S ribosomal RNA
Rfam family: Bacterial large subunit ribosomal RNA
Source: RNAcentral